AACAUACCUCAUAGUACGGAAUAACUGCGGGAAACUGUAGCUUAUACCGUAUAUUCCAGUAAUGGGAAAGAUUUAUCGCUAUGAGAUUGGCCCGCGCAAGAUUAGCUUGUUGGUGAGGUAAUGGCUCACCAAGGCUCCGAUCUUUAGCUGGUUUGAGAGGACGAUCAGCCACACUGGGACUGAGACACGGCCCAGACUCCUACGGGAGGCAGCAGUAAGGAAUAUUGGACAAUGGGGGAAACCCUGAUCCAGCAAUGCAGCGUGAGCGACGAAGGCCUUAGGGUUGUAAAACUCUUUCAUCGGUGAGGAUAAUGACAGUAGCCGAAGAAGAAGGACCGGCUAAUUCCGUGCCAGCAGCCGCGGUAAUACGGAAUGUCCUAGCGU
RNAcentral lists this ribosomal RNA (384 nucleotides) under uncultured bacterium. RNAcentral describes it as "bacterial SSU rRNA". It matches the Rfam family "Bacterial small subunit ribosomal RNA", at positions 123 to 541 of the family's 1533-position model. The record is from RNAcentral.